AUUGAACGCUGGCGGCAUGCUUUACACAUGCAAGUCGGACGAGUGGCGAACGGGUGAGUAACGCAUCGGAACGUACCGGGUAAUGGGGGAUAACUAUCCGAAAGGACAGCUAAUACCGCAUAUUAUUCGAGCGGCCGAGGUCUGAUUAGCUGGUUGGCGGGGGAAAGGCCCACCAAGGCGACGAUCAGUAGCGGGUCUGAGAGGAUGAUCCGCCAAACGGGAACUGAGACACGGCCCAGACGCCUACGGGAGGAAGCAGUGGGGAAUGUUGGACAAUGGGCGAAAGCCUGAUCCAGCCAUGCGGCGGGUCUGAAGAAGGCCUUAGGGUUGUAAAGGACUUUUGUCAGGGAAGCGGUACCUGAAGAAUAAGCACCGGCUAACUCCGUGCCAGCAGCCGCGGUAAUUC
RNAcentral lists this ribosomal RNA (406 nucleotides) under uncultured bacterium. RNAcentral describes it as "partial 16S ribosomal RNA". It matches the Rfam family "Bacterial small subunit ribosomal RNA", at positions 29 to 526 of the family's 1533-position model. The record is from RNAcentral.